AUUGAACGCUGGCGGCAUGCCUUACACAUGCAAGUCGAACGGUAACGGGCCUUCGGGUGCCGACGAGUGGCGAACGGGUGAGUAAUGUAUCGGAACGUACCUUUCAGUGGGGGAUAACGUAGCGAAAGUUACGCUAAUACCGCAUAUUCUGUGAGCAGGAAAGCAGGGGAUCGCAAGACCUUGCGCUGAUUGAGCGGCCGAUAUCAGAUUAGCUAGUUGGUGAGGUAAAGGCUCACCAAGGCGACGAUCUGUAGCGGGUCUGAGAGGAUGAUCCGCCACACUGGAACUGAGACACGGUCCAGACUCCUACGGGAGGCAGCAGUGGGGAAUUUUGGACAAUGGGGGCAACCCUGAUCCAGCCAUGCCGCGUGAGUGAAGAAGGCCUUCGGGUUGUAAAACUCUUUCGGCCGGGAAGAAAUCGUAUGGGUUAAUACCCUGUGCGGAUGACGGUACCGGCAUAAGAAGCACCGGCUAACUACGUG
This 482-nucleotide ribosomal RNA is filed under the name uncultured bacterium. RNAcentral describes it as "bacterial SSU rRNA". It matches the Rfam family "Bacterial small subunit ribosomal RNA", at positions 30 to 507 of the family's 1533-position model. The record is from RNAcentral.